This is a long non-coding RNA of Corticium candelabrum, 1353 nucleotides long. RefSeq lists it as uncharacterized. The transcript is spliced from 3 exons. The record is from RefSeq and is a predicted model, not a curated record. Lineage: Eukaryota; Metazoa; Porifera; Homoscleromorpha; Homosclerophorida; Plakinidae.
CAUGUCGCGCUAGAACAUCGUGUCGCAUCCUGCUGCACGGGUACUUUUGUGUUUGCAGUAGCUACGGUUUUAUCAUUUGUGUGUUAGUAGGGAACGCAAACGGGACGUUAGGAAGCACUUUCUUUUACAACUGGUGCCGCGAACGCGAUCGGCAUGUGUCUGAUCGCCGUGAAUCCGCUGCGAGUAGCUGCUAGUCGCGCGUGGAGCUUCGAAUUCGCUAUGAAAAUUCGCGAUGCGCGUAUCCGCUGUGACUCGAUCGUCCGGAUUCGAUGCGACUUGCCGCGAAAUCGUGACAAAACUUCGCCGUGAAUUCUCCGCAAGACUCUGUGUAGUAGACGUGAUCAUGAAGUCGUUGAGAAUGCAGCUGGCUGGCUAGUGUAGAUGUCGGAGCAUCGGUUCGAACAAACGGCUCUACUAGGUGUCGUUACUGCCAUUGACAGGCGCAGAAUACAAACCACGACGUGUAGGGACGUGAGUUUGCGUGAAGAACGCACUACAAGUCGUCGUUUGUGUACAGUGUAGUCUUUGGUAGACAGCAGAUAUGCAUGAGAUGUCUUCGUUGAUUACAGCUGUAAUUGGAAAGGUAUGCAUUAUGAAACUGAACACUAAUGCUGGUCCUAGGACCAACCGCAAUAUAUUGAGAAGAGGCGGUACCAUCCCAACCCGUGGAGGACGAUUUUGAAUCGGCGCUACACGGGUCUGGGAGGCCGAGGCUACCGUUUGAGAUGUAAGUCAACUCUGUCGAUAGGCUUAUUAUAUGACUUUCUUUCGCCAAAUUGUUGGUUUUGUCUUGUCAACCUCUACCCUCGCAGACAAUGGAGAAGACGGAUGACUCACGGGACAUAAUCUCGGUCACCUGAUCUCGAGUGAUUUUCUCUCUUCAGACGCAGAUCUGAGGCGUUCUUUUUGGCUCAUGUUAUAGUCAUCACCACUGGCUACUAGACCUACGGGGUGAUGUUAGUGCUCAUCGUACUGUUGCUACGGCAGAACGCGAAAUGUGAGAGACAAAUACUCGGACAUUCGGGAUCAUAUCUUGGUCAGUCGCUUUCAUCGCGUUUCUACAAGACGAAUUGAGACGUUAGUCAUGUCUGUCGAAAGGGCGGUGAGAAACGUGAUCGACCUACGGGACAUAAUCUCGGUCACAGUAUGAGCGCACUUCUUGGGUUCUACAGCUUUCGGAGUGAUCAUCAUGGAGAUAAACAUUGAAUCCAUUCUGGUACAAGUUGAAUGUCACAAGAGUAUGCUAGGACUCUGCAUACUUGUAAACUGUGUACGUACUAUGAUCUUGUUGAUUGUAAGAUUUUAGCUACAUCAGUUAUUAUCAACAACACGCACUGCUUAGUUUUAUAGACU